ACAAAAACAUGUCUCUUUGAUAAUAUUAUAUAAAGAGUCGAACCUGCCCGGUGAAAAUUGUUUUAACGGCCGCAGUACUUUGACUGUGCAAAGGUAGCAUAAUUAUUUGCCUUAUAAUUGAAGGCUUGUAUGAAUGGUUUGACGAGAAUAAAUCUGUCUUAGUAUAAUUUUUUAGAAUUUAACUUUUAAGUGAAGAGGCUUUUAUUUUAUUGAUAGACAAGAAGACCCUGUCGAGCUUAAAUUUUAUAUGUAAGUAUGUAUAUUUAUAUUAUUUAUGAAUUUUAGUUGGGGUGACUGAGGAACAUAAAAGUUUCCUUAAAAAAAAUUUAUAUAUUUAUUGAUUUUGAUCCACAAUUAGUGAUUAGUAGAAUUAGUUACCGCAGGGAUAACAGCAUAAUCUUUUUUGAGAGUUCAUAUCGAAAGAUGGGUUUGUGACCUCGAUGUUGGAUUAAAGUGUCCUAAGGGUGCAGAAAUUUUUAAGGGUUAGUCUGUUCGACUAUUAAAACUUUACAUGAGCUGAG
Molecule: ribosomal RNA, 521 nt
Filed under: Xenopoma aguayoi
Lineage: Eukaryota; Metazoa; Mollusca; Gastropoda; Littorinimorpha; Annulariidae
Description: partial 16S ribosomal RNA
Rfam family: Bacterial large subunit ribosomal RNA
Source: RNAcentral